UACGUAGGUGGCAAGCGUUGUCCGGAUUUAUUGGGUUUAAAGGGUGCGUAGGCGGCUUGAUAAGUCAGUGGUGAAAGCCGAUCGCUUAACGAUCGAACUGCCAUUGAUACUGUCGGGCUUGAGUAUAGAUGAGGUAGGCGGAAUUGACAGUGUAGCGGUGAAAUGCAUAGAUAUUGUCAAGAACACCGAUUGCGAAGGCAGCUGACGAAACUGUAACUGACGCUGAGGCACGAAAGCGUGGGGAUCAAACAGG
Molecule: ribosomal RNA, 253 nt
Filed under: uncultured prokaryote
Description: partial 16S ribosomal RNA
Rfam family: Bacterial small subunit ribosomal RNA
Source: RNAcentral